This is a non-coding RNA of Canis lupus familiaris (dog), 73 nucleotides long. Lineage: Eukaryota; Metazoa; Chordata; Mammalia; Carnivora; Canidae. The record is from Rfam.
GCCUCUCUGGCUCAGUUGGUAGAGCAUGUGAUUCUUGAUCUCAAGGUAGUGAGUUCAAGCCCCAUGCUGGGCG